GUUGAAUCUGCUAAAAGUGCUUAUGCAAAAUUGGGUGAGGAUUCUAAUGCUCAGCUACUUGAUAUUAGAUCGCCAGUUGAAAUAAGGAAAGUGGGUGGCCCUGAUCUUAAGGGUUUGGGUAAAAAGCCUGUGUCCAUUACUUACAAAGGUGAAGAUAAGCCAGGUUUCUUAAAGAAGCUUGCUUUGAAGUUCAAGGAGCCACAAAAUACCACAUUGUUCAUUUUAGACAAAUAUGAUGGGAACUCCGAACUCGUUGCAGAGUUGGCAACUGUCAAUGGAUUUAAAGCUGCUUUUGCUAUUAAAGACGGCGCAGAAGGACCUCGUGGAUGGACGAAUAGUGGUCUUCCAUGGUUAACACCAAAGUCAACUUUGAGUCUUAGCA
RNAcentral lists this unclassified non-coding RNA (382 nucleotides) under Hevea brasiliensis (rubber tree). The record is from RNAcentral. Lineage: Eukaryota; Viridiplantae; Streptophyta; Magnoliopsida; Malpighiales; Euphorbiaceae.